This is a long non-coding RNA of Triplophysa dalaica, 455 nucleotides long. RefSeq lists it as uncharacterized. NCBI's taxonomy places the organism in Eukaryota, Metazoa, Chordata, Actinopteri, Cypriniformes, Nemacheilidae. The transcript has 2 exons. The record is from RefSeq and is a predicted model, not a curated record.
UUCCGGUUGUUGCCAUGGCGAUCAGUCGUGCUAAGAAGCUAAAUGUGCUAAUGGACUGCCUGAUCUGAAAUGAAACGUGUUCUUUUGCCUAAAACACAACCAACUGUUAAUGAUGAUCGUGAGUCGACGGUGUUUGGACAGAAUAUUCUCAGUUGUUCUUCUGGCUGUGGUUCUCUUAUCUUGGGGUUUUGUCAUCUACAGCGCACGAGCUGCUGCUCAAUGGGAGCUGGAGAAGAGAUUCCAGAUUCAUUCAUAAAAUCCCGAACGAAAUGACUGCUGCUGUGACAUGUGUCCGGUUCAGUUCCUCUUACAGAAUUCACAGGACUUUUGACAGGAUUUGCAUUCGGAGAGUAAAAGAUCCUCGGGAAAUAAAGGAGAGAUGUGAAUUAACACCCUAAACAAAUCACACCAUCAACUAAAUGUUUAUCAUUUGUAUAAUAAAGAGUUUGAUGUGA